UGGGGAAUAUUGGACAAUGGGCGCAAGCCUGAUCCAGCAAUGCCGCGUGUGUGAAGAAGGCCUUCGGGUUGUAAAGCACUUUUAUCAGGAGCGAAACGCUGUCGGCUAAUACCCGGCGGAACUGACGGUACCUGAGGAAUAAGCACCGGCUAACUUCGUGCCAGCAGCCGCGGUAAUACGAAGGGUGCAAGCGUUAAUCGGAAUUACUGGGCGUAAAGCGUGCGUAGGCGGUUUCUUAAGUCUGCUGUGAAAUCCCCGGGCUCAACCUGGGAAUGGCAGUGGAUACUGGGAGGCUAGAGUGUGUCAGAGGGUGGUGGAAUUCCCGGUGUAGCGGUGAAAUGCGUAGAGAUCGGGAGGAACAUCAGUAGCGAAGGCGGCCACCUGGGACAACACUGACGCUGAGGCACGAAAGCGUGGGGAGCAAACAGGAUUAGAUACCCUGGUAGUCCACGCCCUAAAACGAUGCGAACUGGAUGUUGGUCUCAACUCGGAGAUCAGUGUCGAAGCUAACGCGUUAAGUUCGCCGCCUGGGGAGUACGGUCGCAAGACUGAAACUCAAAGGAAUUGACGGGGUCAUAGCUGUUUCCUG
Molecule: ribosomal RNA, 589 nt
Filed under: uncultured bacterium
Lineage: Bacteria
Description: partial 16S ribosomal RNA
Rfam family: Bacterial small subunit ribosomal RNA
Source: RNAcentral